Molecule: ribosomal RNA, 253 nt
Filed under: uncultured bacterium
Lineage: Bacteria
Description: partial 16S ribosomal RNA
Rfam family: Bacterial small subunit ribosomal RNA
Source: RNAcentral
UACGUAAGGGGCGAGCGUUGUUCGGAUUUAUUGGGCGUAAAGGGCGUGUAGGCGGUUCUGUAAGCUUGGUGUGAAAGGCUAAGGCUUAACUUUAGGAUUGCGCUGAGAACUGCAGGGCUUGAGUGUAGGAGGGGGAUACGGAAUUCCUGGUGUAGGGGUGAAAUCUGUAGAUAUCAGGAAGAACACCGGUGGCGAAGGCGGUAUCCUGGCCAUACACUGACGCUGAGGCGCGAAAGCGUGGGGAGCGAACAGG